RNAcentral lists this long non-coding RNA (737 nucleotides) under Mus musculus (house mouse). RNAcentral's name for it is "predicted gene, 35782 (Gm35782)". Lineage: Eukaryota; Metazoa; Chordata; Mammalia; Rodentia; Muridae. The record is from RNAcentral.
AGAGGUUCUGACUGCGCGUGCGUCCGCGGCCUGCGGCGGCUCCGCUCUACCCUGCGAGGAAGAAGCACUGCAGUCACCGCGCAGUUCUGACUUUGGCCGAGCCCUCCUCAAAGGAGCGUUCAGUCAGCAGAGACGCUGCCUCUGAUCAGAGGGGUUCCGACAAGAUCACAAUGUGGACCACCAAUAAAGCAAGGAUUCUAUGUCCCAGAUGGAGAUCACCUUCUGCUUGCUUUGCCUUUAAACGUCCCUGACUGAUGUGACUGUCAUCCUGAGGGAUCCCGAGGCCAGGGUGCAGACUUGGUGCCAGUAUAUGAAUAAAAGCCUCUUCUUUAUUAAGAUGUAUUAAUGGUCAGACUGGUGAAUCCCUAAACAACCCAGACCGGACCAACCCAUGGCUUUUCCAUAGGUGAUGCCCACCCCACCUUAUCCUGCACUCGAUUCUAGACAUCUGUGAAGAGAGCGGAAUUCAUCCCUUUGCUGCCUGUCUCAUCUAGGUUUGCUGAGAUGUGAACUAGACUGAGAACCACAGUGUUCACGACCAUACCUAGAGUCAACAUGUAGAUUUUUGUUGUUGUUGCUGCUGACUCCAGCUUGGCCAUGGCAGGGACAGCGCAUGACAUGGCUCCCACCCCUAGAAAAGAGCCAGCAGGGCGUGGGCCUCUGGAAGUGUCGAUGGUUGCUGUGGGCAUACGGCUUGAUUGUAUAAAAUUAUAUAUUUUAUUUAUGCUCUUCCUUUA